CUGCGCACCCACUGGAAAAGCAUGGCCUAAAAUGUUUGGAGGUAGCUCAGUUGGCCCUCUCACCUGCCCCUGGAAACAGGGCACAACCACAGCUCCUGAUCAAUCAGAAGAUACAACUGGUGUGGUGACACAGAGUGUGGCAGAGGUGAAGGACUGUACUUCAACCAAGCGACAAUAAUCUGCAAGAGCUUUUCUUAAGAAAUUAGACAAAGAUCUUGUUCAGGCAACACAACGUCAGAGCAUACUUUACCUGGCACAGUGUGUUUACGGUGGAAGACGAUGAAAGACUCAAGUCUCGUGAGCAGAGAUGCAGAGGGCGUUAACAAGCUGAGCGUGUAAACGUGUCCUCAUCUGCCUUCUGCUUAGUAACGCCCCUCCACCGCUAAAGAGAGAGAGAGAGAGAGAGAGAGAGGAAUGCAGCGCACUCAAAGUCUUUCCUUUCCCUCAUUAACAGAGAAGGCCUCCCCGUCCGACUGAUUAAUAACAAACACUGCUUACCUCUCCAUUUCUUUAUCUUCACUCUGAUUUGUUUCUGUCUUUGUGCCUUUGUCUUCUCGUCGUUUGCACACAACACGGUUAAAUGUUAAGUGGUUAUACAGGUUUCUGCUUUUGUUCUGAGCUGCAGCCGAGCAGAUUA
Molecule: non-coding RNA, 637 nt
Organism: Labrus bergylta (ballan wrasse)
Lineage: Eukaryota; Metazoa; Chordata; Actinopteri; Labriformes; Labridae
Source: RefSeq, a predicted model, not a curated record